UACGUAGGGGGCUAGCGUUGUCCGGAUUUAUUGGGCGUAAAGAGCGUGUAGGCGGCCAGGUAGGUCUGCUGUGAAAACUCGAGGCUCAACCUCGAGAUGUCGGCGGAAACCAUCUGGCUAGAGUCCGGAAGAGGAGAGUGGAAUUCCUGGUGUAGCGGUGAAAUGCGCAGAUAUCAGGAAGAACACCCGUGGCGAAGGCGGCGCUCUGGGACGGUACUGACGCUGAGACGCGAAAGCGUGGGGAGCGAACAGG
This 253-nucleotide ribosomal RNA is filed under the name uncultured bacterium. RNAcentral's name for it is "partial 16S ribosomal RNA". It matches the Rfam family "Bacterial small subunit ribosomal RNA", at positions 524 to 776 of the family's 1533-position model. The record is from RNAcentral.